CCCACAGGCCCAGGAAGAGAUGCGGUCCACCUCCAUGGUAGCCAUUAUUUCAAAAGUAAAUGUGAGGACAAACCAAGAAGCUAGUGAAGAGGCCCAUCUGUGGCCUUCCCCCAGCUCUUGCUUCCUGGGAAAUGAUUCAGUUGCAGUCAUCGCCUGUGGUAAGUGCUGGUGAAUAAAGUGUUCUCCAUAGCCCUGGAGCUGCUCUCACCGGUGAACACUCAGGAUUAAAGAACCAUCCAUGCCAGGAAAACAGCGCACCUCCCAGCUCCCUGAAAGGACCCUAGUGCAGCAGAAGAAAAUUGAAACAGCAAUCCAAGUGAUAACUGGACCUUGGCAGGGACCUAGUUCAGCUCCCACAGAAGGUCUAUAAAAUAAGGAAUUGAUUCAUAUGAUUGUGAUCAGCCGUCUGUAAGCUGGAGACCCAGGAAAAGUCAGUGGGGUGGUUCCAGUCCAAGCCUGAAGGCCUGAGAACCUGGGAGCUGAUGAUGCCUUCAAUGAAUCGAAUGAUGCCAUCACUCCAGGAGGGGCACCCGCCUUCCUCAGUCUACAGGUACAGAUGCUAAAUGCUCUCCUAGAUGCGCCAGGAUAAUGUUUAGCCAGACGUCCGGGCACCCCACGGCCCAGUCCAGUUGACAGAAAAUCAGCCAUCACAACUGACCCAUCUUUGUCUCCUUCCACCCUGAGCAGCGCUUGUGGAGUAAGGAAGGCCGCUGGGGUCUGCAGGGAUGAGCCUGUGUGCUGGCUGUCCUUAUGCCCUCGGGGCUGCAGGUGCCGCUCAGGCCGUUCUGGUGCUAAGAUGCCCGCUGAGGCGCACAGCCGGGGGUGACCACGUUGGGGUCUCAGCGCCCGACUCGCGGGGAGACGGGGCUCUCCACCCCAUCAGGAAAGCCUACCUACCCCAGCUGGCAGGCCUGGAGCUGGGGAUAAAACGGGGCGGCAGCUGAGGACAAAGACCCUGAUAAGAAUGAGACGCACCUUCCCCACCAGUUUCUUCGCAAAGCUGCAGAGUCAGCCACGGAUUUCACCACCCAGGUUCUGUUCUGGGUACAUCAGCAGGUCAGCUGCCCUGACCGAGGCCCCGGGCUCUCUCUUUCCUGCCUGGCCUCCCCUCCCCUCCGUGACCUCUUUAUUAUAAAUGGAGAGGCCCCGCAGUGUGGCUGAUAUUCAAAUCGUUGUUUUUACUUUGUAACAGCAUGUACCCCGGUCAGUAACGAUACAUUUGUGGGUUUAUUUGCUUGGUAU
Odocoileus virginianus texanus is the source of this 1242-nucleotide non-coding RNA. The record is from RefSeq and is a predicted model, not a curated record. NCBI's taxonomy places the organism in Eukaryota, Metazoa, Chordata, Mammalia, Artiodactyla, Cervidae.